AAAUCCGGUACUCGUUAAGGCUGAGCUGUGAUGGGGAGAAGACAUUGUGUCUUCGAGUCGUUGAUUUCACACUGCCGAGAAAAGCCUCUAGAUAGAAAAUAGGUGCCCGUACCGCAAACCGACACAGGUAGUCAAGAUGAGAAUUCUAAGGUGAGCGAGCGAACUCUCGUUAAGGAACUCGGCAAAAUGACCCCGUAACUUCGGGAGAAGGGGUGCUCUUUAGGGUUAACGCCCAGAAGAGCCGCAGUGAAUAGGCCCAAGCGACUGUUUAUCAAAAACACAGGUCUCUGCUAAACCGUAAGGUGAUGUAUAGGGGCUGACGCCUGCCCGGUGCUGGAAGGUUAAGAGGAGUGGUUAGCUUCUGCGAAGCUACGAAUCGAAGCCCCAGUAAACGGCGGCCGUAACUAUAACGGUCCUAAGGUAGCGAAAUUCCUUGUCGGGUAAGUUCCGACCCGCACGAAAGGCGUAACGAUUUGGGCACUGUCUCAACGAGAGACUCGGUGAAAUCAUAGUACCUGUGAAGAUGAAGGUUACCCGCGACCGGACGGAAAGACCCCGUGGAGCUUUACUGUAGCCUGAUAUUGAAAUUCGGCACAGCUUGUACAGGAUAGGUAGGAGCCUUUGAAACGUGAGCGCUAGCUUACGUGGAGGCGCUGGUGGGAUACUACCCUAGCUGUGUUGGCUUUCUAACCCGCACCACUUAUCGUGGUGGGAGACAGUGUCAGGCGGGCAGUUUGACUGGGGCGGUCGCCUCCUAAAAGGUAACGGAGGCGCUCAAAGGUUCCCUCAGAAUGGUUGGAAAUCAUUCAUAGAGUGUAAAGGCAUAAGGGAGCUUGACUGCGAGACCUACAAGGCGAGCAGGGUCGAAAGACGGACUUAGUGAUCCGGUGGUUCCGCAUGGAAGGGCCAUCGCUCAACGGAUAAAAGCUACCCCGGGGAUAACAGGCUUAUCUCCCCCAAGAGUUCACAUCGACGGGGAGGUUUGGCACC
This 990-nucleotide ribosomal RNA is filed under the name Staphylococcus aureus. RNAcentral describes it as "partial 23S ribosomal RNA". It matches the Rfam family "Bacterial large subunit ribosomal RNA", at positions 1538 to 2525 of the family's 2925-position model. The record is from RNAcentral. Lineage: Bacteria; Bacillati; Bacillota; Bacilli; Caryophanales; Staphylococcaceae.